Amphimedon queenslandica is the source of this 497-nucleotide long non-coding RNA. RefSeq lists it as uncharacterized. NCBI's taxonomy places the organism in Eukaryota, Metazoa, Porifera, Demospongiae, Haplosclerida, Niphatidae. The transcript is spliced from 3 exons. The record is from RefSeq and is a predicted model, not a curated record.
AAUUAGAAAGUCAUAAAACUUAAAGCAAUGCAUGAAAUGAAUUUUUAAACAAUUUUUGGGCCACAAAAUAUUAUGCUGUACAGUUGCACAGUGUGCAUUGUGACUAUAUUAAGAUUUUGUCUUUUUAUUUGUACUUUUUAUUUUACACUUGCAGAAUGCUUGUGCUGUAUAACAUCAAUCAAGAAGUAAUGGGAAGAUGCUUCAAGCUUAUUCGCCAAGCAACAAACCUAGCAAUGAGCACUAUAUCAACUACUGAUUUAUUAAAUUAUGUCAAGGUAUUGCACUAAUCUUGGUCUUUCAUUACCAGUUUAGAAAACAGCUAGCUUCAUUAUACAAAAAACUGUUGAGUAAUGAGCUUGAUCUUGCUCCAAGAUUUUGAUGACCUUUUAGUUGAUUUAAUAUCAGGACUACUUUUGAAGGAUUUAAAUGAGGAAUUGUACAUGAGAAUCACUUUGAGACUACUAAAAGAAUUCUUGUCACAAUGGCUCCUGAAACAU